Molecule: non-coding RNA, 74 nt
Organism: Aedes aegypti (yellow fever mosquito)
Lineage: Eukaryota; Metazoa; Arthropoda; Insecta; Diptera; Culicidae
Source: Rfam
CCUCUCAUGGCGUAGUGGUUAACGUGCCCCAACUAGAUAUCGGGGAGUCGUGAGUUCGAUUCUCACUGAGAAGA